This 2103-nucleotide ribosomal RNA is filed under the name Clostridioides difficile. RNAcentral's name for it is "bacterial LSU rRNA". It matches the Rfam family "Bacterial large subunit ribosomal RNA", at positions 496 to 2617 of the family's 2925-position model. The record is from RNAcentral. Lineage: Bacteria; Bacillati; Bacillota; Clostridia; Peptostreptococcales; Peptostreptococcaceae.
UAGUACCGUGAGGGAAAGGUGAAAAGAACCCCGGGAGGGGAGUGAAAUAGAACCUGAAACCCUGCACUUACAAGCUGUGGAAGCACAUUUCUUGUGUGACCGCGUACUUUUUGUAGAACGGGCCAACGAGUUACGUUAAGUAGCAAGGUUAAGCACUUAAGGUGCGGAGCCGUAGCGAAAGCGAGUUUUAACUGAGCGUUCAGUUACUUGACGUAGACCCGAAACCGGGCGACCUACCCAUGAGCAGGAUGAAGCGAAAGUAAAAUUUCGUGGAGGUCCGAACCCACGAGCGUUGAAAAGCUCGGGGAUGACUUGUGGGUAGCGGUGAAAUUCCAAUCGAGCCCGGAGAUAGCUGGUUCUCCCCGAAAUAGCUUUAGGGCUAGCCUCAAGGUGAGAGAUACGGAGGUAGAGCACUGAAUGUCCUAGGGGGUAUUGCACCUACCGAAGACUAUCAAACUCCGAAUGCCGUCAUCUUAUACUUGGGAGUCAGACUGUGGGUGAUAAGAUUCAUAGUCGAAAGGGCAACAGCCCAGAUCGUCAGCUAAGGUCCCUAAAUGUAAGUUAAGUGGUAAAGGAUGUGGGAUUGCACAGACAACCAGGAUGUUGGCUUAGAAGCAGCCACUCAUUCAAAGAGUGCGUAAUAGCUCACUGGUCGAGUGAUCCUGCGCCGAAGAUUUCCGGGGCUAAAACUUACUACCGAAGCUACGGCAUCAGUAAUGAUGGGUAGGGGAGCUUCCCAUACGGGUUGAAGCAUGACCGUAAGGACAUGUGGACAGUAUGGGAGUGAGAAUGUUGGCAUGAGUAGCGAGAUGUGGGUGAGAAUCCCACAGGCCGUAAACCCAAGGUUUCCAGGGGAAGGUUCGUCCGCCCUGGGUUAGUCGGGACCUAAGCUGAGGCCGAAAGGCGUAGGUGAUGGACAACAGGUUGAUAUUCCUGUACUACCGAUAACCGUUUGAGAGAAGGGAUGACACAGUAGGAUAAGCUAAGCACACUGUUGGUUAUGUGUGCCCAAGCAUUGAGGCAGUCAAAGUAGGCAAAUCCGCUUUGAUAAUGCUGGGAUGUGAUGGGGAGCGAAAUUUAGUAGCGAAGUAGCUGAUUUCACACUGUCAAGAAAAGUCUCUAUCGAGGUUAAAGGUACCCGUACCGCAAACCGACACAGGUGGGUGAGGAGAGUAUCCUAAGGCCAGCGAGAGAACUGUUGUUAAGGAACUCGGCAAAAUGACCCCGUAACUUAGGGAUAAGGGGUGCCACCAUCAGGUGGCCGCAGAGAAUAGGCCCAAGCGACUGUUUACCAAAAACAUAGGUUUCUGCUAAGUCGCAAGACGAUGUAUAGGAGCUGACGCCUGCCCGGUGCUGGAAGGUUAAGGGGAUCUGUUAGAGCAAUCGAAGCAGUGAACUUAAGCCCCAGUAAACGGCGGCCGUAACUAUAACGGUCCUAAGGUAGCGAAAUUCCUUGUCGGGUAAGUUCCGACCCGCACGAAAGGCGUAACGAUUUGGGCACUGUCUCAACAACAGACUCGGUGAAAUUGUAAUUCCGGUGAAGAUGCCGGAUACCUGCGACAGGACGGAAAGACCCCAUGGAGCUUUACUGUAGCUUGACAUUGGGUCUUGGUACUACAUGUACAGGAUAGGUGGGAGGCUUUGAAACCAGGACGCCAGUUUUGGCGGAGCCAUCCUUGGGAUACCACCCUUGUAGUACUGGGACUCUAACCAUAGGCCAUGAAUCUGGUCUUGGGACACUGUCAGGUGGGCAGUUUGACUGGGGCGGUCGCCUCCCAAAAGGUAACGGAGGCGCUCAAAGGUUCUCUCAGUACGGUCGGAAAUCGUACGUAGAGUGUAAAGGCAAAAGAGAGCUUGAUUGCAAGACAUACAGGUCGAGCAAGGAUGAAAAUCGGACUUAGUGAUCCGGUGGUUCUGCGUGGAAGGGCCAUCGCUCAACGGAUAAAAGCUACCCUGGGGAUAACAGGCUUAUCUCCCCCAAGAGUCCACAUCGACGGGGAGGUUUGGCACCUCGAUGUCGGCUCAUCACAUCCUGGGGCUGUAGUAGGUCCCAAGGGUUGGGCUGUUCGCCCAUUAAAGUGGUACGCGAGCUGGGUUCAGAAC